Molecule: small RNA, 27 nt
Filed under: Bombyx mori (domestic silkworm)
Lineage: Eukaryota; Metazoa; Arthropoda; Insecta; Lepidoptera; Bombycidae
Description: ovarian small RNA-25221
Source: RNAcentral
UCACGAAAAAAAUGGUAGUCCGUUGAA